AUAAGAAACUAAAGAGAAAAUUUUAUUGCAUUUAACUAGAAAUAUUCUUCAGGCACAAGAGUUCAAAUUGAAAGUAAAAACAAGGGAAAGCAAGAAAAUUCUAAGUUAAGUUUGAAAGACUCUGAAGUUCAACAAUUUCAAAUUGAAAGUAAAAGCAAGGGAAAGCAAGAGUUAUACUGGUCAUUUUCAUAAGUUUGUUCACAUCCCUGAAAGUAGCUUGAGGAUUUUUUCGAGGCGGCAAUCUCUUCAUUUUUCUCUGCAACCACCUCCGUUAGGCUACCAAUCAUAUUGGACCAUUCCAAUAGAUCAUAAAGAGUUCAGUUAAUCGUUGGCCAUGUUCAGAGCAUGAUCAAAGAUGGUAUAAGCCUGAUCAAAGAUGGCAUCAGCAUGAUCAAAGAUGGCAUCUUGAGCAAUAGCUUGGUAUUGUUCAACACCACGAUAAAACUCUAAUAUGUUUAAAAACAUGGAAUUGAUCAUCUCUAAGAUCCAAGCCAUCAAAGCGCUCAAAAAAUUUCCUGUCCUUUGAAAUCGAUCAUGGAUAUCGUGAUAUUUAAACAGGUGACUCCUAUUCCUUUCAGGAUAAAAGGUUUAGAGGAAGGUCUAAUGUUCGGGGAUAAACUGUAAAGGGAUUGUCUGGAUAAGGAUUAAGAUUAACC
Molecule: long non-coding RNA, 656 nt
Filed under: Amborella trichopoda
Lineage: Eukaryota; Viridiplantae; Streptophyta; Magnoliopsida; Amborellales; Amborellaceae
Description: long non-coding RNA (ATRI_LNC003305)
Source: RNAcentral